GUUGUUAGUUGUGAUGUCACCAUUAUUGAGCUGCAGGAUGUUGUCAUGUUCACAAUGUUGACGGAAGUUGAGGGGGGUGUUAAGGUGAGGAUUAAGAAUAAGUGGUAGCGUACCUGAACUCUACAUCACCUAACACUGCAGGACACCAAAGUCACUGCUGUACUGACAGAGCUGAACAGAGCUCUUCCAGUUAUGUCAGUUACUCCCAGCUGCGUCUGACCGUUCCUGCUGGAGAACAACACACGUGGAGAUCCUGAUGCCAACAAUACAUAUCAGAGAUGGAUUGCCGAUUAUCGAUGUCUGUCGAUCAAUGGCUCGGACCGGUGUCGGGGCAUACGGAUGCAAGCUGCACAUCAUGUUUGUUAUUGUAUUGUGGUUGCCAUGGAGACGGGAAGUGGAGGAUGACGUCACAUGAGGGCGACGCCUACCAGCUUCCGGAUCCGGGCGCCUUGCACGCGGUGUGGUGAGGGGAUUUAAGAAGUAAGUUUGUACACUGUAUUUUAUCCUGAUGACGAGGGAAUAAACCCUCGAAACG
Molecule: long non-coding RNA, 535 nt
Organism: Pseudophryne corroboree (corroboree frog)
Lineage: Eukaryota; Metazoa; Chordata; Amphibia; Anura; Myobatrachidae
Exons: 4
Source: RefSeq, a predicted model, not a curated record